Molecule: long non-coding RNA, 1291 nt
Organism: Nematostella vectensis (starlet sea anemone)
Lineage: Eukaryota; Metazoa; Cnidaria; Anthozoa; Actiniaria; Edwardsiidae
Exons: 2
Source: RefSeq, a predicted model, not a curated record
AGUCAUCAAAUCAAUAUCAGACUCUGCAAUGGUAUCAGAGUCUGAGUAGUCUGAUUUGUCGAGGGAGAUCUCCAGAAACUCCAAAUCAGAUGAAUUUCCCGAAGACGAGAUUACGCCGUUUCUUCUCAGGAAUGACGUUCCUGUUAUACCCAGUGCAACGAUCACGUAGUGAUCUUGAAUGAUGGCUUUGAGGCGAUUCAUGGCCGCCGGCUAUUUGAUUGGAUGUGCGCACGGUGCAGGGCCUAUCGUCCUAGCAACAUGGAUCAACGUAAUGCUUUGGGUAAUGACCCGUAUCCACCCGUAUGAGCAAAAGCUCAUGGUGAAUGGAUUCGCCUCCCUGCUCCCCGAAAAAGCCCGAAGGAAAUUUCCAGCGUGUCAUGAAUUCCACGGCGUGGUGCUCCAGCAAGGGGUUGGGUUUUGCGGUAUUGCGACAUUUGCCCUUUUUUGUACGAGAUUGCGGUAAAAGAGCAGAAAACAUACUGUGAUGCGGUAUUUCUUCGACCUCUAACUUAUGAAAUAAAGCUGAGGUAUUCAGAAUUAAGGUUCAAGCCUUGUAUCAUUAACAUACUGUAAUAAUAAGCUAAUAAAAGACAAACUUAUAUCGCUCUAAACUAGUAAAAUUGAGCUUCUAGGGAAGAAAAACCACCACAGACGGAUAAAUUUCCAUCCCAACUAAGUUUAUUUCAUGAAUUAGAGGUCGAAGAUACACUCAUAGAUGUUUAUUUGCCACUGGACGAAAAAACGGAUUUACACAACUUUGCCUAUCGCGCAAAUAUGAUGUAAAUAUCAGGCACUAUAUUUGGUGCCUGAUUUGCUUUGGUAGUAAACGUGUAUACAAAUUUUAUAUUUGCAUGUUGUGCAAACACUUUUCAAAGAUCAACUUUGAUUAAUUUGCUUGGAUGUUAAAUUUGUAUGUAAAUUUCAUGUUUGUAUUUUGUGCAAAUAACAUUUCAAAGAUCAACUUUGACUGAUUUGCUUGGAUGGUAAAUUUUUAUGUAAAUUUCAUGUUUUUAUUUUGUGCAAAUACAGUUCAAAGAUCAACUUUGAAUAAUUUGCUUGGGUUGUAAAUUUGUAUGUAAAUUUCAUGUUUGUAUUUUGUGCAAAUACAGUUCAAAGAUCAAAUUUAGAUUUGCAUGGAUUUACACUCACUAGAUUAUCUUUACUUAUAUCUGCAAGGUGUGUUUUAAUAUCACUUAGUGUUUGACGGUGACAGUCGUGUGCGACAAAUUGUUUUGUUGUCGCUUUUAGUAGGCCAAACAUCUAAAAUCAUCAUCAAGAUACUAGUGAAAAU